GAAUAUUGGACAAUGGGCGCAAGCCUGAUCCAGCAAUACCGCGUGUGUGAAGAAGGCCUGAGGGUUGUAAAGCACUUUCAAUUGGGAGGAAAACCUGUCGGCCAAUACCCGGCAGCUUGACAUUACCUUUAGAAGAAGCACCGGCUAACUCCGUGCCAGCAGCCGCGGUAAUACGGAGGGUGCGAGCGUUAAUCGGAAUUACUGGGCGUAAAGCGUGCGUAGGCGGUUAUUUAAGUCAGAUGUGAAAGCCCCCGGGCUUAACCUGGGAACUGCAUUUGAUACUGGGUAACUAGAGUUUAGUAGAGGAGAGUGGAAUUUCAGGUGUAGCGGUGAAAUGCGUAGAGAUCUGAAGGAACACCCAGU
This 363-nucleotide ribosomal RNA is filed under the name uncultured Methylobacter sp. Its description in RNAcentral is "bacterial SSU rRNA". It matches the Rfam family "Bacterial small subunit ribosomal RNA", at positions 359 to 714 of the family's 1533-position model. Lineage: Bacteria; Pseudomonadati; Pseudomonadota; Gammaproteobacteria; Methylococcales; Methylococcaceae. The record is from RNAcentral.